UACCUACCCUUGACAUGUCUGGAAUCUCGCAGAGAUGUGAGAGUGCCCGAAAGGGAGCCAGAACACAGGUGCUGCAUGGCUGUCGUCAGCUCGUGUCGUGAGAUGUUGGGUUAAGUCCCGCAACGAGCGCAACCCUUGUCAUUAGUUGCUACGAAAGGGCACUCUAAUGAGACUGCCGGUGACAAACCGGAGGAAGGUGGGGAUGACGUCAAGUCCUCAUGGCCCUUAUGGGUAGGGCUACACACGUCAUACAAUGGCUGGUACAGAGGGUUGCCAACCCGCGAGGGGGAGCUAAUCCCAUAAAACCAGUCGUAGUCCGGAUCGUAGUCUGCAACUCGACUGCGUGAAGUCGGAAUCGCUAGUAAUCGCGGAUCAGCAUGUCGCGGUGAAUACGUUCCCGGGUCUUGU
This 408-nucleotide ribosomal RNA is filed under the name uncultured bacterium. RNAcentral describes it as "bacterial SSU rRNA". It matches the Rfam family "Bacterial small subunit ribosomal RNA", at positions 972 to 1384 of the family's 1533-position model. The record is from RNAcentral.